This 187-nucleotide small RNA is filed under the name Staphylococcus aureus. RNAcentral's name for it is "5'UTR". Lineage: Bacteria; Bacillati; Bacillota; Bacilli; Caryophanales; Staphylococcaceae. The record is from RNAcentral.
UCCACACGUGUAACGAUUGUGCCUACAGUUCUAUCACUAUUCAUUUCAGUUAAAAUGCGAUUGAUUUCAGUUUCCAACCAAUAGCCUAUCAUACCCUGUGACAUUGCACCACAAGUAUCCAAUGGCAUUGCCGGCGUUGUGUCACUGUUCGAUUUAGCUUGUUGGAUUAAUAAACUUCCAAUUUGUG